UGUGCGUGCGUACGAGCGUGCGUGUGUGUGUAUGAUUUUUGCUUUAGUCGGCUCAGUGCCUCGGGUUUUCUAACGUCACCAUGUAUCAUCCCAACCAGACGGGCAUCCGUCAGAGUUCAAACUUCUGCGUCUUGAUCUAACUUUAAACCUUACACAAAUAUAUGCUGAAGUCAUCUUCGUUCCAUAGUUGCACUCAUACAGAUCACAAUGUACGAUAUUCAAAAUUCAGAUAAUUCAUGCUCAUGCCUGCGCUACUGUAAGAGUUGGGUCGAGUCAGAAAAAUAAAUUAUGUCAUGCUUUUACGCAUUGUUACCGGCAGUAUUUGCUCUGCGUCGCUCGAUUACGUCUAACUGCGUCGCUAUCGAAACGGGGCAGCUGAGAAUGAUAUGUUACGCAGUAAAUGAUACGCUGUGGCUUAACGAUUUUUCAGAUAGCACGAAUGCCAGCAAUCGUGCAAAGUAGGAGUCCAAAGGGGGACAUGGUUGGUGUGGUUGGGUGAAAGCAACGUGUUAUUGUGGUUAAAAAAGAUGAAUCAGUAUACAUGUGAUAUAACUGUCAAAGCCGGAAUGUUGAAAGCAUACAUCCCGCCCAAGGCAUGCUGGGAGGAUCUCCUAUCAGGCAGCUUGGAAACUUCCAGACGCCGAUAUGCCUUACGUUUGGUGCAGCCGAGGUUAUGAACUUUCAAGUGGAAUAUGCCCCUUGAGGAAAACAAUUAGGGACGAGUAUAUUCAAGCUCCACGUGAAAUGCCAAGUAUGGUCACUGAAAAAUGUAAAUUGUAAUAUUUCUGUUUCUAAUCACCUGCUGUCGUGUUUCUGCUACUAAACUGUCACGUACAUUUUUGUACUGCUGA
This is a long non-coding RNA of Rhipicephalus sanguineus (brown dog tick), 851 nucleotides long. RefSeq lists it as uncharacterized. The record is from RefSeq and is a predicted model, not a curated record. The transcript is spliced from 3 exons. Lineage: Eukaryota; Metazoa; Arthropoda; Arachnida; Ixodida; Ixodidae.